CCUACGGGUGGCUGCAGUAAGGAAUAUUGGUCAAUGGACGAAAGUCUGAACCAGCCAUGCCGCGUGGAGGAUGAAGGUCCUCUGGAUUGUAAACUUCUUUUAUAUGGGACGAAAAAAGGCCUUUCUAGGCCGUCUGACGGUACCAUAUGAAUAAGCACCGGCUAACUCCGUGCAAGCAGCCGCGGUCAUACGGAGGGUGCAAGCGUUAUCCGGAUUCACUGGGGUUUAGGUGGGUGGAUAUGGCAUGGUAGAAAUCUCCGAGCUUAACUUGGAAACUGCCAUUGAUACUAUUAAUCUUGAAUAUUGUGGAGGUUAGCGGAAUAUGUCAUGUAGCGGUGAAAUGCUUAGAUAUGACAUAGAACACCAAUUGCGAAGGCAGCUGGCUACACAUAUAUUGACACUGAGGCACGAAAGCGUGGGGAUCAAACAGGAUUAGAUACCCUGGUAGUC
This 450-nucleotide ribosomal RNA is filed under the name uncultured bacterium. Its description in RNAcentral is "partial 16S ribosomal RNA". It matches the Rfam family "Bacterial small subunit ribosomal RNA", at positions 338 to 795 of the family's 1533-position model. The record is from RNAcentral.